CAGAAUCCCUGCCAGCCAGAAGAGCUGAGAAACUGAGCUCCGCCCAUAGCUGGGUGCGUUCUUUGUGACCUCUGCUUACCUGUUAGUAAAAUAGAUGCACAUGCAAGGCGCACCUGCUGCCCAGGCCGUGCAUCUCUUCCAGGGUGACAGCCUGGUAAGAAAGCAGACUUACGCACACAGGAUGGAAGGCAGCAGCGAAAAGCCCAGUGUGUUCUGCGUGCUACCUAACAUAGGCUUUGGCAAGAGAGGACCCAGAUGACUUCCGGCUCCUAUGGUGUAAUGAAGUAACAGCUGCCUUCGAGUUCUGAGGGAGAAGCCCACACCUUGUGCUCUUACCACUUGAUGGCAAAUGACACGCGUGCUCGGGACCUGCCUGCUGGGCCGCUCAGCGGAGGUCUCCCUGAGCCCCGGCACACACAGUCAGGCUGCCUGCACAGGGUACCUAGUGGUUCCGUUAGUGAGAGCGAUGAGCGCCUUAUUAAUAUCAGCUCCCUAAAAUGCUGCUACUUGGUGUUCAAGAAGCUGCUUGCCAAUAUUUUGCGAAUCACUGAAACCUCAAUGAUUUCACUUACUAAGUUGCCGCUGAUAAUCGAGGUGAGACUGCCGGGUAUUUUGCGCAAAUUACUUCAUUCAGAGAUGAGUGGGAUGAGAAUGGGCGUAGUCUAAAUCACAUUAUGGACAUCGUGUGGUUUAAAACUAUCAAGGCCAAGCCCAGAAAUGUCUCAGAGGCUUUGGCUAAAGGAGCACCAGAAACUAUGUGCUCCUCAUAAGGGUGUAUUAUUUCAAAAAGAUUUCAGAGGAGCAGGCAUUCUCCCCACACUUGGACCUCUUCCUGCUUUUUCUUGGAGCCAGUAUUUCCUGGCAGACUUGGAUAGAACAAAACCAGGAAGCUCUAAGCAGCAUGGAACUCUCAGGUGUGGCCUUCAAGUUUCUCCUGCACCUCCCAGGAAGCAUUCGCAGGAGCGCAUUGAAACUGGAUGCGGUUAGUAGAGGGUACAAGGGGCUUUAGCACCGUCUCUCUGCCCCUUUUGUCUUAUCCAGGCUACUUAGGGUGGGGAGCACACACACCCUAAUCCUAGUGCCCUUGACCCCAGGAUUACACUAUCAACUAAUUUUAGCAUCUAAAUCCAGCCACUUCUGGAAAAGCACCACCUAUGACCGCAUGAGGCUUUGGGGGGACAUCCAGACACAGACAUAACAACAUUGCACCUAGAAACUAUAAUGUUAAAUAAACAAGAUACGCAAGCUUGAAUAUUGCAAAGUUUCUCUUACAUGAGAAACCCAAAGUAUAAAUAAAUGGAAGAGCAAAGCAGAAGAUAGAUGAUAGGAAACAGGGUGAUAGAUCUUUUGCAAAUGGGAAGGAGACCAACAGAUAAAGGGAGGGAGAAGAUGAAGGGAGCAUAAAAAGAAUUCAGUUGGAUCAGGUACACGUACCAACUACCCAUGAUGAACGUAGUCAUUACGUAUCAUAAACGUACUAGUAAAGCCUGGUGUAGGCGUGGUGGCGCAUGCCUGUAAAUCCCAGCACUCAGGAGGCUGAGGCAGGAGUAUUGCUGAGUUCGAGACCAGCCUGGGCUACAUAGUGAGUUCCAGGUCAGUCUCAACAAGAUAGACCCUGUCUCAAAAAACCAAAAAAAAAAAAAAAAAAAAAACUAAUACAUUUUUUUUUUUUUUUUUAGAAAAGAAGGAAAUUUUGUCACAUGCUGCCGCAUGGAUGAAACUUAUGAUGUUACACUCAAUGAAAUAUGCCGGUAAAAGAAAAUAAGACAAAUACUGUAUGAGUUUAUUCAUAGGCGGUAUCCAAAGUAGUUAAAUUCAUAACAACAGAAAGUAGAAUGUGGUCUCUAAGGACCGGAAGGAGGGAAAAGUGAAGUUUUAGCGAAAGUGAAAAGUGUUAGUGAGUUUCAGUUUUGCAAGAUAAAAAAGUUCCAGAUAUCUGCUGUACAGUGAGCAUACUAAGCGCUACUGAACUGUGCAGCUUAAAAUGGUUAACAUGGUAAAUUUUGUUCUAUGCUUUUACAAUAAAAAGUGCUAUUGUUCCUUCACCCUGAACUUGGGAGUAGUGAUGAACUCAGCAAGGGGUCUGGAAAAGACAUUAAUGUAACCCUGAUUAAAGAUUCUUCAGCUACAAAUACUUGCACUGGAGUUGACCAAUUUGUUGAAAGCCUGCCAGAAUCUCCCUCCCACUUCCCUCCUGGACUGCUCCACUGCCUUGAGAGUUACUAGGAAUAACCUGGAAGUUUCUCGAAAGUCUCUGAAUUCAGAUAUGGGAGAAAGUGGCAAAAGUAAAGAAACUUAACCAACCAACUUAGCAGAAGUGCUUAAUGUGGAGAAGGUGAUUCUGCUGGACGAUGGUUUCCUGGAGUAAUCUAGCUGUGUCUUUCUCCCACAUGCCUAGAAACUGUAAAGAUUUUUCUUCCUGAAAGAAAUAAUAAUAAAACAGAUUCAACACAUUUUCUCAUGCAACAAGAAAGAAGUCACAGAACAUAAGGGACUUACUACCCAAAAUUCUCCAAAGAAGCCAUUGGAAAGCUAGAUAUAGGAUUCCUAGUCUUGGUGGUGAUUUUACAGAGAUUUGUUCCUGAUACAAUAUGACAGAAGAGGCCAAUAUUAAAGUUCACCCACACUGGAGAAAACUAGAACGAUCCCAGUUGAAAUAAAAACAGAGGAAGCUGGAUAGUGGAAUGUCACUUUCCUUCUCCGUGCUCCAGUCCUACCCCUGAGCCCCC
This is a long non-coding RNA of Fukomys damarensis (Damara mole-rat), 2729 nucleotides long. NCBI's taxonomy places the organism in Eukaryota, Metazoa, Chordata, Mammalia, Rodentia, Bathyergidae. The record is from Ensembl.